CCCUUAGAUGUUCUGGGCUGCACGCGCGCUACACUGGUGCACUCAACAAGUUUACAACCUUGAUCGAUAGGUCUGGGUAAUCUUUUGAAUAUGCACCGUGCUAGGGAUAGAUUAUUGCAAUUAUUAAUCUUGAACGAGGAAUUCCUAGUAAAUGCAAGUCAUCAGCUUGCGUUGAUUACGUCCCUGCCCUUUGUACACACCGCCCGUCGCACCUACUGAUUGAGUGAUCCGGUGAAUAAUUCGGACUGCAGCACUGCUUGGUCUCCAGGCUUUGCAGCGGAAAGUUUAGUGAACCUUAUCACUUAGAGGAAGGAGAAGUCGUAACA
This 326-nucleotide ribosomal RNA is filed under the name uncultured eukaryote. RNAcentral's name for it is "partial 18S ribosomal RNA". It matches the Rfam family "Eukaryotic small subunit ribosomal RNA", at positions 1470 to 1796 of the family's 1831-position model. The record is from RNAcentral.